This is a regulatory RNA element of Roseovarius indicus, 119 nucleotides long. It matches the Rfam family "TPP riboswitch aptamer (THI element)". Rfam says of the family: Vitamin B(1) in its active form thiamin pyrophosphate (TPP) is an essential coenzyme that is synthesised by coupling of pyrimidine and thiazole moieties in bacteria. The previously detected thiamin-regulatory element, thi box was extended, resulting in a new, highly conserved RNA secondary structure, the THI element, which is widely distributed in eubacteria and also occurs in some archaea. The record is from Rfam. Lineage: Bacteria; Pseudomonadati; Pseudomonadota; Alphaproteobacteria; Rhodobacterales; Roseobacteraceae.
GACACUCACCCGGGGGGUCUCGACAAGAGGCUGAGAUACUGCUGGCACCCGUGCAGCGCAGUGACCCGAUGAACCUGAUCCAGUUCAUACUGGCGUAGGGAUGGUGCACUGGCCGCGCG